RNAcentral lists this ribosomal RNA (253 nucleotides) under uncultured bacterium. Its description in RNAcentral is "partial 16S ribosomal RNA". It matches the Rfam family "Bacterial small subunit ribosomal RNA", at positions 524 to 776 of the family's 1533-position model. The record is from RNAcentral.
UACGGGGGGGGCAAGCGUUGUUCGGAAUUACUGGGCGUAAAGGGCUUGUAGGCGGCCAACUAAGUCAGACGUGAAAUCCCUCGGCUUAACCGGGGAACUGCGUCUGAUACUGGAUGGCUAGAGUGUGGGAGAGGGAUGCGGAAUUCCAGGUGUAGCGGUGAAAUGCGUAGAUAUCUGGAGGAACACCGGUGGCGAAGGCGGCAUCCUGGACCACGACUGACACUGAAAAGCGAAAGCCAGGGGAGCAAACGGG